GGAGGGGGCAAGCGUUGUUCGGAAUUACUGGGCGUAAAGGGCGCGUAGGCGGAAGAUCAAGUCAGGGGUGAAAGGCCUGGGCUCAACCCGGGAACUGCCUUUGAAACUGGUUUUCUAGAGUACGGGAGAGGAUGGCGGAAUUCCCAGUGUAGAGGUGAAAUUUGUAGAUAUUGGGAAGAACACCGGUGGCGAAGGCGGCCAUCUGGCCCGGUACUGACGCUAAGGCGCGAAAGCGUGGGGAGCAAACAGGAUUAGAUACCCUGGUAGUCCACGCCGUAAACGAUGUGUGCUAGCCGUUGGGGCUUCAGGUCUCGGUGGCGCAGCUAACGCGUUAAGCACACCGCCUGGGGAGUACGGCCGCAAGGUUA
RNAcentral lists this ribosomal RNA (368 nucleotides) under uncultured organism. RNAcentral's name for it is "partial 16S ribosomal RNA". It matches the Rfam family "Bacterial small subunit ribosomal RNA", at positions 527 to 896 of the family's 1533-position model. The record is from RNAcentral.